GAUGAACGCUGGCGGCGUGCCUAAUACAUGCAAGUCGAGCGAACGGACGAGAAGCUUGCUUCUCUGAUGUUAGCGGCGGACGGGUGAGUAACACGUGGAUAACCUACCUAUAAGACUGGGAUAACUUCGGGAAACCGUAGCUAAUACCGGAUAAUAUUUUGAACCGCAUGGUUCAAAAGUGAAAGACGGUCUUGCUGUCACUUAUAGAUGGAUCCGCGCUGCAUUAGCUAGUUGGUAAGGUAACGGCUUACCAAGGCAACGAUGCAUAGCCGACCUGAGAGGGUGAUCGGCCACACUGGAACUGAGACACGGUCCAGACUCCUACGGGAGGCAGCAGUAGGGAAUCUUCCGCAAAGGGCGAAAGCCUGACGGAGCAACGCCGCGUGAGUGAUGAAGGUCUUCGUAUCGUAAAACUCUGUUAUUAGGGAAGAACAUAUGUGUAAGUAACUGUGCACAUCUUGACGGUACCUAAUCAGAAAGCCACGGCUAACUACGUG
Molecule: ribosomal RNA, 497 nt
Filed under: uncultured bacterium
Lineage: Bacteria
Description: partial 16S ribosomal RNA
Rfam family: Bacterial small subunit ribosomal RNA
Source: RNAcentral